UGAGCCUACGGGAGGCAGCAGCGAGGAAUAUUGGUCAAUGGCCGAGAGGCUGAACCAGCCAAGUCGCGUGAGGGAUGACGGCCCUACGGGUUGUAAACCUCUUUUGCCGGGGAGCAACGGGGUCCUUGCGAGGGCCCGAUGAGAGUACCCGGGGAAAAAGCAUCGGCUAACUCCGUGCCAGCAGCCGCGGUAAUACGGAGGAUGCGAGCGUUAUCCGGAUUUAUUGGGUUUAAAGGGUGCGUAGGCGGGCUGUUAAGUCAGCGGUCAAAUGUCGGGGCUCAACCCCGGCCUGCCGUUGAAACUGG
RNAcentral lists this ribosomal RNA (305 nucleotides) under uncultured bacterium. Its description in RNAcentral is "bacterial SSU rRNA". It matches the Rfam family "Bacterial small subunit ribosomal RNA", at positions 334 to 636 of the family's 1533-position model. The record is from RNAcentral.